Molecule: transfer RNA, 77 nt
Filed under: Oligoflexia bacterium
Lineage: Bacteria; Pseudomonadati; Bdellovibrionota; Oligoflexia
Description: tRNA-Arg
Rfam family: tRNA
About the family: Transfer RNA (tRNA) molecules are approximately 80 nucleotides in length. Their secondary structure includes four short double-helical elements and three loops (D, anti-codon, and T loops).
Source: RNAcentral
GAUCCCAUAGCUCAACUGGAUAGAGCACUACCCUUCUAAGGUAGGGGUUACAGGUUCAAGUCCUGUUGGGAUCGCCA